AGUCCGCUGGGUUCGGAGGAGCAGAGGCGGAAGGUCCCGGCGGCGGCGAGGAUGCGCCCCAGGGCGGGAGCGGGACGCUCCACUUUACCCUGGCUGCCCGCAACGGGCCAGGCCUGCCGUCUCUACCUCUCUACCUGUGAGUUUUUUCCCUGCAUUUACUUCAGUCUGCCGCGUCUUCUCCCCGCCCUUCUCUGUAAGGUUGUAUCCACGAGUACCAGCAGAGUGCCUGACACAUAGUAGACAUAAAUCAGGCUGAAGAAUGACCAUGAUGGAGAAUUGAGAAACAAGACCAUCUGCAUCAACAGGAAUUUGGUAGCUGAUCUAGGAAUGCAGCCUGAAGAAAUCAGCACCUCCUAGAUACAGAAUGAACAGAAGGGCUCAGAAGAAAUAUGAGGACAAAUAGGUAUGCUAGACUGAGGCAGAAGAGGCUUGAAUAUUGACUUCAUCUUUUAAGAUAACUCCCCAGAUCUCCAGUUGGUUGAAUGUGUGCAUGUAGAACCCACAGACACAGAGGAUGGGCUACAUUAUGUAGCGUCAGUGAUGGCUUCAUAGAAGAGUUGGAGACAGUUUAAACUAUAAAUGUGCAGCCU
This 590-nucleotide long non-coding RNA is filed under the name Homo sapiens (human). RNAcentral's name for it is "non-protein coding lnc-GRIK2-2:8". The record is from RNAcentral. Lineage: Eukaryota; Metazoa; Chordata; Mammalia; Primates; Hominidae.